UUUUUCUUUUUUGAGAUGGAGUCUCGCUCUGUUGCCCAGGCUGGAGUGCAGUGGCCCGAUCUCCACUCACUGCAAGUUCUGCCUCCCGGGUUCACACCAUUCUCCUGCCUCAGCCUCCUGAGUAGCUGGGACUACAGGCACCUGCCACCAUGCCCGGCUAAUUUUUUGUAUUUUUAGUAGAGACGGGGUUUCAUCGUGUUAGCCAGGAUGGUCUCGAUCUCCUGACCUCGUGAUCCGCCUGCCUCGGCCUUCCAGAGUGCUGGGAUUACAGGCUUCAGCCACCGUGCCCAGCCUCACCCAGAUGGAGUCUCAAUCUGUCACCCAGGCUAGAGCACAGUGGCGCAAUCUUGGCUCACCGCAACCUCUGUCUCCAGGAUUCAGGCGAUUCUCUUGCCUCGGCCUCCUGAAAAGCUGUGACUACAGUGCCACAUGGAUCAACCACCAGGUUAACCUACAGCUGAAGACUGCAAGGUGCACCCUCUGGUUCACACUUCUUUCCUAAGAGGAUUAAAAUGGAAGUGAGGAGAGUUCCCUCUGCGGAGCUGGACCUUGGAGGCCUCAUACUCUACCCUAGGAGAGACUCAUCCAGGAACUCAUCUCCAGGCCCAGGAGAAAGGGCUGGCUUCAGGACCAAGCAUUCCAUAGGAAAGCUCCUCUCCCUGCCAUCUGACUGCCUUCUGCCCACCCAUAGGUCCUCUUGCACAGGAGGGCACACAGACCCCUACUCCCCUGUGGACCUAGGGCUGAGGUUCGCUGUGGUUUGGCUACGGCUGAGCAAAUACUGUCUGUCUGCCAAGGCAGAGUCAACUCCCAGCUCUGAGGUUAGCAGGUUUCUCACCCUUUGAAGGACGGGGCCCACAGCAGCCUUCCUCUCCACUUGGUGGUCACCGGAUUGGAGGAAGACCAGACCCUCACAUCUUUCUGGGUUAGGCCCCAAACCACAGUCUGGAGAAUGGAAGCCAGACCACGGCCCUCUAACAGCCACACUUGACCACUCACUCACUGCUUUGGCAUUGAACUUUGAAUUAUGUUAUCAUCAUUCCUAUUACUAUACCUAAUUUUAUAGCUGGUAGAUAGGUAAACACUGUUCCUGACUGGAACUCAGAUAUCCACUUGUGGGCAAAGAAUGGUCUCUCUUGCCCAACAAUGAUGUCUUGGCAAUGACAUCAUCAUUGCCAAGGUGAUGAUGUCAAUCAUUCACCUUGAUGUUGACUUUUGUCUUUGGGGCCUCACUUUCCCCAUUGUAGAACAAAGGGCUUGGAAUAGAAACCCCCUGGUCCCUCUCUGUUCUGAGCUUCCAGGAGCUAUCACUCCACCAUCAAUGGGCCAACCCUUUCCUCUGGGAGGGGCAGAUGACUUACACUCCCCGUGGAGCUGACCCUGCGCCGUCCCUGGUCUUGGUUAUGAUGAUGAUUUGGUAUGUUUGUGUGUGUUUCCCUCCUGGACCAACCCCCGGGACUUUCCACCCUUCUGGUUCCUCUGCAAACAUUUGUUUUCAUCCUAGUCUAUGGAACAAGACAUCACUAAGGACCAGAGUGAUGCAAAAGACAAAGGGGAGAAACAUUCCUGGCCACCCUGUCUAGUUCUUCCUGCUGGGCCAGGGGCUGGUUAGCACCGUCUCCAGCCUCAGGCCCUCAGCAGUCUCAGGGCUUGCCAGGUGCAGGUUAGGGAGCAGCUCAGAGGUUGGCCUACCUUUUCUUUGCUUCUUCAGGUGACACAGCUCAGCGGAUGUCAGAACCAAAGGCCUGGAGAGCUCACACUCCACCCAACCCUCUCCUUUUGCAGAUGAAAAACCCAAGGUCCAGAAAGGGGACGCAAUGGCCAUAGCAGCAGCAGAGCAGGGACUGAAUCCCAAGGCUGAUGACUUUGACUUCGGUGCUCCAGCAUUCGUCUUCCCUGGAUUUCUCAGCUCGCAGGCUCGAUAACUCUCUUCUCUCCCCAGACUUGUUGGCAGGCAAGAGGAAUAACUCAUGUGAGUCAAAAGCAAUUUGCAAACAUAAAUAAUUUUCGAUGCCAGGAGAGGAGACGGUGGGAAGAUGCAUGGAAGGUUGAGAGGAACACAGUCAGCCCCAAGUCUCCCUCACCCUGCUGGGCACUUCCUCUUCCCACCUCGGCGCUGGUGGGAGAGUCGGAGUGCGCCAUAAACAAGGCAGGAAACGGCUAUCAUGAUGCUCACUUCCGCUCUUCCUAGAAGGGAUUCUGCUCGCCAAUCUCUCCACUCCCCACCCCCUGCCAUGCACAGGAUUUUGUACUCCCAGCUCCUCUGGAGGCUCAGAGGAGGAGAUGGUCCUGCUGCACUGGCCCAGCCUUCCUCUACCUGGCUUGUCUUUUUCCUUGUCCUCAACCCCAAACAGCAAGUGUCCUAACAAAGAAUGGAUAGCACACUAUUAUUUUUGUGACAUUCAUCUCAGUGUCAUAUUCCAAAGGAGCUUGACAUAAUUGUCCUGUUCCUAAUGUGGACACUGGUUUACGAAAGUGUGGUGACCACUGGAGACUGUUCUCUGACAGUGUAACAGGUAUUCGCCCCUUUCCCCAGGGUACCAAGACUCACGUGGCCCUGACAGCCAGCACAGUCUCUUAGGAGGUUCCGGAGGGUGGCAGUGGGAAUGAGCGUAGAGCUGUGUCAUUUCGGAGGGCUGAGUGCGUUCCACACAUCUUCCCAAAGCCCACCCCAAGAGGCUGUCUAAUGCAGGGGGAAACAAUGAGAAACCAGAUACCAUGGAAUUAGCAAAGAAUUUCUCAGAUGAAACAGGAAAGGGAGGAAAUCCAGAGGGGUUUACAUUACACCUGGCUCAGGUUGAAAGGAUUCAGGGCCAGUUGUUGGCAAUAUUAAACUCCAGGCUGUGUUUGAAAGGGUCCUUCACUCGGGCAGCCAAAGAGAGGCGUUCCUGCCAGGAUAGGUUGCAUCGCUGCAGAUCUCCAGCCCUACGUGCAUACACACGUGUACACACACGUGCACACACAUGCAUGCACACACAGACGUGCACACGCACACACAUGCAUGCACACAUGCACACAUGCGCACACGUGCGCGCACACGCAUGCACACACACACAUGCAUGCACACACGUGCAUCUUGGAUAUCUCUUGUUAAUGUCAGCCCUCUGCCCCAAACUAGAUUUGAAAACUUGUAGGUAAUCAAGUUUUCUGGUUAAGAGAAAUAAUCCCAGCCAACAGUUAGUAAGCUCUUAUGUGUCAGGCCUUAUCCAAACAGUUCACAUGAAGACCAGAUCCAAAAAUAAAAGUGUGC
This is a long non-coding RNA of Pan troglodytes (chimpanzee), 3250 nucleotides long. RefSeq lists it as uncharacterized. The record is from RefSeq and is a predicted model, not a curated record. NCBI's taxonomy places the organism in Eukaryota, Metazoa, Chordata, Mammalia, Primates, Hominidae. The transcript has 3 exons.